CCUACGGGAGGCAGCAGUAGGGAAUCUUCCGCAAUGCUCGAAAGACUGAUGGAGCAACGCCGCGUGGAUGACGAAGGUCUUCGGAUCGUAAAACCCUGUUGUUAGAGAAGAAAGUGCGUGAGAGUAACUGUUCACGUAUCGACGGUAUCUAACCAGACAGCCACGGCUAACUACGUGCCAGCAGCCGCGGUAAUACGUAGGUGGCAAGCGUUAUCCGGAUUGAUUGGGCGUAAAGGGAACGCAGGCGGUCUUUUAAGUCAGAUGUGAAAGCCUUAGGCUUAACCUGAGUAGUGCAAUGGAUACUGGGAGACGUGAGUGUAGAAGAGGAGAGUGGAACUCCAGGUGUAGCGGUGAAAUGCGUAGAUAUAUGGAAGAACACCAGUGGCGAAAGCGGCUAUCUGGUCGGUAACUGACGCUGAGGUUCGAAAGCGUGGGUAGCAAACAGGAUUAGAUACCCGAGUAGUC
RNAcentral lists this ribosomal RNA (465 nucleotides) under uncultured bacterium. RNAcentral's name for it is "partial 16S ribosomal RNA". It matches the Rfam family "Bacterial small subunit ribosomal RNA", at positions 338 to 795 of the family's 1533-position model. The record is from RNAcentral.